Molecule: long non-coding RNA, 288 nt
Filed under: Fukomys damarensis (Damara mole-rat)
Lineage: Eukaryota; Metazoa; Chordata; Mammalia; Rodentia; Bathyergidae
Description: lncRNA (ENSFDAG00000032568.1)
Source: RNAcentral
UGGCCCCAGCGGCCUGGGCUGUCCCGCUUCGCCUCGGGCUCCCUCUCCUCCACUCUCAAGCAGGGAGCUCCGCCUGGCGCACUUCUCUCCGCAGAGUCCUACAGGGGAAUUGCUGCAACUCUACAUGACCUAGGUUUUGAAGUUACAGUGCUCUUGAAACCACUUGCCUCGGGUCAAUCUCAGAUCCUCCAGCCCCAAAGAAAAGACUAAAUUCUUCAAAUAACUGUACUAUUUUAAUCCCGGAAAUAGGAGGACUUACUGUGUCCAUCAGCACUCAUAACAGAGCCA